RNAcentral lists this unclassified non-coding RNA (345 nucleotides) under soil metagenome. RNAcentral describes it as "partial contains 5.8S ribosomal RNA, internal transcribed spacer 2, and large subunit ribosomal RNA". The stretch from base 1 to 119 matches the Rfam family "5.8S ribosomal RNA", at positions 35 to 154 of the family's 154-position model. The record is from RNAcentral.
GAUGAAGAACGUAGCGAAAUGCGAUACGUAAUGUGAAUUGCAAAUUCAGUGAAUCAUCGUGUCUUUGAACGCACAUUGCGCCCCCUGGUAUUCCGGGGGGCAUGCCUGUCCGAGCGUCAUUGCUGCCCUCAAGCACGGCUUGUGUGUUGGGCCCCGUCCUCCGAUCCCGGGGGACGGGCCCGAAAGGCAGCGGCGGCACCGCGUCCGGUCCUCGAGCGUAUGGGGCUUUGUCACCCGCUCUGUAGGCCCGGCCGGCGCUUGCCGAUCAACCCAAAUUUUUAUCCAGGUUGACCUCGGAUCAGGUAGGGAUACCCGCUGAACUUAAGCAUAUCAAUAAGCGGAGGA